CAUUCUUUCACGACGAGCAAUGUGUAUAGGCUGGUUUAGUGGAUUACUGUAGCUGUAAGUUUGAUUUUCACAUCUUCACCAUAUAUGGUCUGCAAGUAUCUAGCUAAGUAAUGGACGAGCCACCGCCAGUCAAGAAUGUAGUAUUUGAGAUAAAAUCAGAGCUAAUGGGUGGAGGCGAGUUUCCGAGAAGGGUCCAGCUGCUGCCGCACACGCCCGUGACGGAGGUUGACUCUUCCAAAUAUGGAUCGUUAUAGAAGAGACUUCGCACAAAACGUGAGGACGUUUAUCUCGGCUGCUCGGUGGGUGUUGAUGCUGAAAAAGAAAAGAUGGCGCAAGGAGCUCGGGUGAGAAUGCCACAAUAUGGUUAAUGAACACUUAUUGUUUUAUGUAUAUUUAUUAUUAGGUUGUUGUAUGUAUUAACGAUUUGGCUGUUUCGCGCACUGUAAAUAGUGUUAAUUUUGUAGAUUAUUUUUCAUUUUAAUCAAUUAGGCUUGCUACCGGUAAUCCCGUGCUUUAGGUCACAAUCUAGCCUUAGCGUUAUCAUAAGAAGUAAGGCUAACGUCAAGAUACGUCAAGUAUAAACUGUUUUUUUUAUAACGCCAGACUAUAUAGUUCUAUUGGAAACCAUGUGGCUUUAUUCACCAACAUACAUUAACACGGAUAAAACACCUAAAUUAAUCGUGACAGAAAACCCUCCAUAGUAUGUGACCUCUGAUUCGGCCUGCUGCCGCCCCUGUCCCUAUUUCUUUCUGAUAUUCAGUUCCACCAUUUCAUUAUUAGUUGAGUGUUAUUUUUGGUAUUGCAGUAGCUUUUAUAUUAGGGACCAGGAGAAUAGGUAAACUGUUGCAGAGUCCUGUAAGGACUUUGUGGCGCACCACUAGCUCAAUGUAUGGACACGAAUUGGGAAUAACCAUGUGAUGUGAAACCUCCUGCAACCUCUCCCUUUGAACUGAUACCCUUAUUUAGGGCCUGACUAACUCUGUGUGUAUGCGUGUGUAUGCGUGUGUAUGCGUGUGUCUGUGUGUGUCUGUGUAUGUCUGUGUGUGGCUGUGUCUGCAGUACUGUCAUCUACAUAUUCAAAUCCAGAUUAUAAAGCAGAGGAACCAAAGGUUGUUCUUAAUACUCUGUAUAGUUCUAAGAAUUGAUACGGUUUGCUUAGUUUAGUUUGAUAUUUAACUUAGCUAAAUGAUUUAUACCUGUGUGACAUAUUGCAACCCAUCCCUGUACCCAUCCCGUGUAUCAAGAUGUCUUUGAUUGUCUCUGUCUCUUCUAUACCUGCAUGUACUCAUCAUCCUUAUAUGAGGUAAGAAUAAGGCUAAAUAAUGUAUCACACCUUUAUUACUUCAGACAGAAAUAUGCAGUUUUUCCUGUGCUACAUGAGCAUGUGAGGUACCCCAUCGUACAAUUUGGAAGAAUAAAGUGCAUUUGCCCAAUAAACAUAAAAAUAUGGACUGAGGGGAUUAUGGACCGAAGUGUAUUAUGGGUUAUCCCAUUUGGGGUACAAUUGGGCAGUAAAACAUGUACAUUUGCCCAGCAAACCUCCAAAUUUGGACUCUGUGGAGUUUGGAUGGAAGUGUAUUAUGGAUAAUCCCAUUGGUCGUGCAAUUGGGCAGUAAAACAUGUACAUUUGACUAGCAAACAUCAAAAUUCUGACUCUGUUGGGUUUGGACCGAAGGUGCCAUUGGGUGUAUACAUUUGUGGUAAAACUGAACAUUUGCUGUGUAAAGCACAGUCACCUGCCCAGGACUUGCUGCCUGACUGGAAAACCGCUGACUGCAGAGCGGUGGAGCUCGGGGAGCCCCUAGAGCAUUUUCUGUGAAUUGCAGUUUGGCAGGAGGUCUGUACGGGAAGCCAGUAAUACUGGGCAUUUGGUGACAAAUUGGGAAGUAAAACCCUUUGAGUGAGUAUUGCGUCAAUGUACAAUGUUGGCCCAUUCAUUUUAUCCAAAAACUAGUAUUUUCCCUUCUCUUUCCAUACCUCUGUGAGUCAGCAUUCUCAACUUUGACUGCAAUGUAGACUAAGCACAGAGCUCGUUUGCAUGUGGAGAACAAUCUGAGUCUGCCAGUCAUCCAUCCCUCCAAGAGUGGAUGAACUGUGUGGUGAGAGAAUGGCAGAGCCAUCUCAUUAAGAAUGAAAUCAUUAAGUGAGUUACUGUGAACUGUGUGAGAUAAGAAUGUGACGUAUAGCCCUAAUGUACAAACUCUUCUAAAGUAAUAGGUUUAAUUACUAUGAUGUGUUCUGUAACACUGUUGAUAACUUAUUUUAUGAUUUGUUCAGAGCUUUUAGAAUUCAAAUAUUUCCAAUGGCAUCUAAGACUAAACAUUUUAGUAAGCACAUGCUUAAUCGGUAUUAAAAUCAUUAGGGGGUCCUUGAAAAAUGUUGUCCCCUGUAAGGGGUCCCUGGUCCAAAAAAGUUUGAGAACCCCUGAUGUAAUAAGUGCAACAAGUCUUUUAGAUUCCUUAUUUAAGCAGGAGUCUCCUACAACACAAUCGACCACUCAUCCUUGAGAUCCUUUCCACACAACAUUCCGUGUUUCGACAGUUACCCAAUUUGCUAACAUGGGUUGGAUCAAACAGCCGUAGUUGUGAAAUGUUGUGGCUCCGCCCCCUCUAGACUCUCAGAUCUAGAAUCUUGUCCUUCUGUCAGUGACCGAGCUGGGUAAGUGAUCUAAUCCCAAGUCUGGCGUGUAAAAACCGUUACAUUACUGCCUGCGAGGCAUCGAGAGGUGCGUAGCUGGCUCAACCCUUACACCGUAUACUACAGUGCGUUUAGUGUUGUGUAAAGACUGGUUGAAUUAUAACGCAAUAGCCUACUUUAUAGUUCCACUGGAAACCGAGUGGCUUUAUUAAUCGAUAUAAAGCAAGAUGGGGGAUAAAACACCGACAUUCAUCGUGACAGAAAACCCUCCGUGGUAUGUGACCUCUGAUUCCAAAUGUUUAUAGCUGUGAAAGCGAACAAGGACUGUUUGAUAACGUCGUCAACUUGUUGUGCAAACAAGAGGGACUAUCUGAAAGAGAGAAAAGCGGAAAAACAUCUAAAAGACUAUCAGGAGCCUUCGCGUUCGUUGUUGCUUGCGCUGAUGGACUAAUUGGACAUUGAAGGUGGAGACGACUUUGAGUCUAUGGCGAGUGUGGACAAGGCUGGUCUCAAACAUAUUCCAGUGGUUACGCAGGACUCUGAAAAACAACCUCGUCUAUUACGACAGCAGCAGGUCCACGAUCGGAACAUAUAGCAAGCCGUUUUAACAUGUAUUCGCUAGACUGGAUAUUUCUUACACAUGAAUGCAACAUAAUUUCGCCAAGUCAGAACUGCAAGAUAUCUAUAACGUCAUUAUGACUAGUCAAAACGACAAUUGAAGAUAUCUGUAAUUCUGUUUUGACUAGUCAGUUUUAAAUUACUAUUGCCAUUCAUGUCUAUGAGGUUUCUCAUUACAGAUAUCUUUAAAUGAAGUUGCAGAUAUCCGAAAUGUCUAUUGUUGAUAUAUUCAAACCAAUUAUGACUAUAGUAAUUACAGUUCCAGAUAUCUAUAAUUUAAUUCUGACCAGUCACGAUUCCAGUUCAAGAUAUCUUAAAUCCCCCUAAAUUUAAGAUAUAUAGAUCAUUAUUUUGCAAUAUCUUAAAUAAUGUUGUAAUUAGUCAUAAAUCAGUUGUAAAUAUCUUGAACUGGAAUUCUAACUAGUAUUAAUUAAAUUGAAGAUAUCUGAAACUGGAAUUACAGCCAGUCAUAAUGUAAUUGUAGAAAUCUAUUAUCAAGUUAUAGAUAUCUUUGAAUAUUUUUCAAAUUGGAGAUAUAUUUUACUUUCAUUCUGCCAAGUCAAAAUGUAAUUACAGAUAUCUGUAGUUACAUGUAGGAGUCAGGAGCGGGAGUAAGUGGCUUGCUUGUAUUCAAACAUAUGUAACUACUCUUCCACCGUAUGGCAAGCAUUAACCGCCAUGUCAGACCUGCGUGAAGCCGAAGUUCUAGUUUUUGAUAAAAUAUUUAUGGUUGCAGCCAGUGCACGACAGGCGCUUUUAGCAGGAAAUACAGGAGAUUUACUUUCUUUCAAAAGUCGAUAAAAAAAAAAUUUUUUUUACUAUCCACAACUGAAACUGCCAUUGCUGCUAACACCGAAAAGCGUUGCUGGGCCAAUAUGAUCUGAUGCCUCGCAUGAGAAACGUCAUGCAAAACAAUUCGAAAUAGUCAUAAGGACAUUUGAGAUAUCUACAACUAUAAUUUUGACUAGUCCAAACAAAAUUCUGCAAUUACCAUUUGGGAUGUAUGAAAGUCGAGUGUCGUUUUCAGUGAGGUCACUUCUGAUAUUUGUAAUUCAGUUUUGACUAGUCAAAAUAAAAUUACAGACAUCUUUAACUGUGUUUUGACUAGUCAGAAGAACGUUACGUAUAUCUUGAAUCAAAAUUUAGACUAGUCACAAUGUAAUUACGUCUAGUCAGUAUUACGGUGUUAAUAUCUGUCAUGUUAAUUUCAUAUAGUCAAGUCUAGCGAAUACAUUUUAAAAUGGCUUGCUAUUGGAACAAACACUUGUUAUCCCGACAACCGGAAAGAUUGAGCUGUGGGUGGAUAAAUGAGCCGUGUUUGGAUUGAUGAGCCGUGUGUGGAUAGAUGAGCCGUGUGUGGGUAGAUGAGCCAUGUGUGGGUAGAUGAGCCGUGUGUGGGUAGAUGAGCCGUGUGUGGGUAGAUGAGCCGUGUGUGGGUAUAUGAGCCGUGGUUGGACAUCCAACCAGUGUUGAGUUUACUGUUCAACGUUCUCUUAUCCAACCAAUGGUAAAUUAUCUAAUUCCAAGUCUGUCUUAUAAAAGCCCUUACACCAGCCACAUCGACGUUACAUCAUGCGAGGCUUCGAGAGGUGAGCGACUGCCUCAACCCAUAAACCGUAGACCACAGUGCAAGAGGGACUAUUUGAAACAUCUACAAGACAAUCAGUAGUAUGGGAAUCCGGGACGCUGACAUUAUAGAGCAAAACCCUUCAUGUUCGUUGUUGUUAGCGCUGAACCUAGAGCACAUUAAAGGUAGAAACAAACACGUUCUAGCCUAUCCAGUUGCUGAGCACCGAGGACAAAACCUCGUCUACUGAGAACAACAGUCACGCGCUGGUCUCCGAUGUAAAGGAUACACCCCAUGUGCUAGGCACGGCUUCGGCCGACAUUUUGAAUAAAAAACGUAAGGCCAGCGUGGAUUGUUUCACCGGAAACCAAAAUUACAUAUAGAGAAAACCCCUCGAAAAGAAGUCAAAGGACAAAAAAAGAUUAGAUUGAAACAGAUGAUGAAACUGUUAACUCUGUGAUGUAGGGAUAUUUUCAUGAAAUGUUAUUUCACAUUAACCUGAUGAGUAGACGAAACAUCUCAUGUGAUCACUUGUAUAUUCAUUGAGAGUUAAUUGAUGAAACAUUAAACCAGGGCUCAUAUUAUUAUCCCAAACAGUCUGUUUGUCUUUGAUUUUUCCACAUUUAAUUGUUAAGAGACCGAUGAACUACACUCUUGCUCUGGCUCCACUACCCAUGGUCAGUUCAAUGAGUGUUUGUUAUCUCAUAUUAAGGACAGAAGGACCUGUGGCUUGUCCUUGACUCUCUUGGGAAAAUGAGUGAGCUCAUAGAUCAAAGAAUCCUUGACUUAGGGAAUAUGCUGAGUAAUGAUGAGUAGUGGCUUGGUGAGCGAAUCCCAGAUUGUUGUGAAACAUUGAUGGAAGAAACAGAAAUGAGCUUAAUGAGGGGUCUGCAGAGCAAGGCAAAGUUAA
This is a long non-coding RNA of Esox lucius (northern pike), 5732 nucleotides long. RefSeq lists it as uncharacterized. The record is from RefSeq and is a predicted model, not a curated record. NCBI's taxonomy places the organism in Eukaryota, Metazoa, Chordata, Actinopteri, Esociformes, Esocidae. The transcript has 3 exons.